This is a small nucleolar RNA of Arachis stenosperma, 108 nucleotides long. Lineage: Eukaryota; Viridiplantae; Streptophyta; Magnoliopsida; Fabales; Fabaceae. The record is from RefSeq and is a predicted model, not a curated record.
AAACAUGUUCAGAGGGCAUUGCUUGGUUAGUAGCUUGAAUCUCUCCCAAGCUUCAUAAAGGGCCUCACCAUCUUUCUAUCUGAAGGUCUGAACCUCCAUGCUUAGCUU